GGCGGUUCCCCUAUUUUGAUAUCUAUGACCUAUUCGGUCGAGUUGCUACAGUUCUAUCUUGACAUACGUAGCCGAUUAGUUGCUGAUGGCCUAUACGGUCGGUGUGCCCUGAGGGGCUGGAUUGUCGGCUAGUUGCCGAUGGAUGAUCUUUGAGCAUACUACAUUGAUCGCCACUGCAGGUACGCAUUUCACGAACACCAGCGGUCUGAUCCACCGCAAGAGGGUGUUCUUUUCCGGAAAAGUGGUUGGAUUGCCAACCCGUGAGCCCAGGGGCUUUAUUGCGAGGGUAUAUGCUUCUGACCCAGGGGCUUCAUUGCGAGGGUCAGGUACUAUGCUUCUGACCCAGGGGCUUCAUUGCGAGGGUCAGGUACAGGUUGAGCAGUGUGGCAUGGGCCUGAGGUCUUCGGACCAAUAGGGCAGCGAGAUUGGGUACUUUUGAGGUUAUCGUCAGUUGACGCAUGCAUACAGUAGCUGUAGUGUUUAUUUCCAGUACAUCCUUAUCUGUUUAUUGUAGCUACUGUUUUAUUUACCUGCAUCUAUACUUGUCAGCUCCUUACAUAUCUCUUUCGUUUAUUAUUGUUGCUACUAUAUUUCCACUGACCCGUGUUGUUGUAUAGCUCUUCCUGAUCCGGUGAGUACUCCUCGCCUUCUUCGGCUUGCGGUACCCACUGGGAGGGGAGACAUGUUUACAUGUUCUCACCUCCCCCACUAUUUUUCAGGUAUUGCGGGCGAUGAGUAGUGGGACGAGACGUGAGGCACGCGUGUAGCGGUCGAUAGAGCUUCCGACCCAGGUUAUUUCGGUAUAGUUAUUACCCCUAUUAUUUCUGUUAUUGCAUAGUUUAGUUGGUUUAUGUGGUUCAGUAUUUCAUUACAUUAAAAUAAAAGGAUUUCUGGAUUUUGUAAAAUAAAAGGUUUUCUACCCCUCGUGGUAGCGUUUUUAAAAGAUAAAAGUUUCCGUGUAGGGAACAGUUUUUAAAAGAUUUUCUGUGAUUUUUGUAUCUUAGUAUUUCAAAACCUGUUUCUGUGGUUGGAAACAUUUUAACUAAUAGAUGUGAAUCUGUGGUGAAUGGUGUAUGAAUAUAUAUAACGGUUGGUUAUUUGUAUGUUCACCUGGUUGUGGUUGUAUCAUGUUUGAACUCUUGUACUUGUGCGACGCCGUGCAAAUACAGGGGAGACUCUGUCCGUGUGAACAGUGGAUUCCCUGUAUUUGUGGCGGAUCUGGCAUACUCUGGGGUCAGGUUUUCAAAAAAAAAUUCAGACGCUUUUCCGCUUUGUUCUAAACUGAAAAGGGA
This 1292-nucleotide long non-coding RNA is filed under the name Ananas comosus (pineapple). Its description in RNAcentral is "long non-coding RNA (ACOM_LNC005143)". Lineage: Eukaryota; Viridiplantae; Streptophyta; Magnoliopsida; Poales; Bromeliaceae. The record is from RNAcentral.